CCCUUAGAUGUUCUGGGCCGCACGCGCGCUACACUGACGGAUUCAACGAGCUUACAACCUUGGCCGAAAGGUCUGGGUAAUCUCCAAAAUCCGUCGUGAUGGGGAUAGAUUAUUGCAAUUAUUAAUCUUCAACGAGGAAUGCCUAGUAAGCGCAAGUCAUCAGCUUGCGUUGAUUACGUCCCUGCCCUUUGUACACACCGCCCGUCGCUCCUGCCGAUUGAAUGGUCCGGUGAAGCGUUUGGACUAUGGUUUUCUGAUGGUCCGCCGUUGGAUUACCGUGGGAAGUUCGUUAAACCUUAUCAUUUAGAGGAAGGAGAAGUCGUAACA
This 327-nucleotide ribosomal RNA is filed under the name uncultured eukaryote. Its description in RNAcentral is "partial 18S ribosomal RNA". It matches the Rfam family "Eukaryotic small subunit ribosomal RNA", at positions 1470 to 1796 of the family's 1831-position model. The record is from RNAcentral.